CUAUGGAAUAGGUUUGGCAGCAUGGAGAUGAAGUUCCUGAAUGCUCUGUGGUCUUGUCUACUUUAAGGCUUCCGCAGGGCUGGCAUCAGAACAGUUGUCCUAUUGGGGUCUCAGCAGUCCCUCAGGUGCCUCCUUCUGGAUUCUCUUCUGAGCCUACUCCUUCUGAUGGCUCCUUGUCCCACAGAUAAGGGCAUGGGCAGCCCCUGUCUUGGCUUGUGCCUUUUUCUCUGCCUCUGACUGGAAGCAACAGGCAGGAGAUUGGGGGAGGAAGCCCUGCAGACGUUUCUCGCCUGGCUGCCGGAACGCCGGGUGAAGAAGCCACGCUCUUGCUCCAGAAGGAAAGCAGAAGGAGCCCAGCAGCACCACUGCAGAGCCUGCUCAGAACUUCGCUCCCUCUGCCACAGCGUGUGCAGCUUGCCAGGUAAAGCCUGGAUGAGAACACCCAGUGCUUUUCCCAAGAUGAAUGAGAUCAGCACAUAUUCAGGAAAGGAAAAAAAAAUCCUGCUAAUAUAUGGGAUGAUUUUUAACCCAGAGUUAAAGUGUUAGCUUACAAGUUCCUCUGCCUUAGGGCUCGGGAUUUCUGGGGUAGAUUUCAUGGUGAGGGUGGAAGUCUCUCUUCUCCGUUUGAUGCUGCUGUUAAAAAAGCAAGCAAAUGUUGUAGCCACAGGGUAGGCAAGAGCCCUGUGCUCAGCAGUGUGAGAUGUAGGACACGCGAAGGGUAUUGUCACAAGCUGUGGAGAAGCCUUUGCAACCUGCACACUGAUGAUUUUGGCUCAAGCCCAUAGCUCGCUAUUGCAAGCACCACAUGGCUAGAGCAGAGGGACUCUGACUCUGUUGAUCUUUCCUGGGCUAGGUUGUUCACAUUAAGCUCUCUUCCACAUGGCUGCUUUGCACCACUGCAAAUCUGCAGGGUGCUUUUCUGCUGCCAGGUCCUUUCCAUCAAGCGUCUCUCAAAACUCAUUUCCUGAAGCCCCAGUCAGGGAGGCAGGGAAAGGGCAUGAGCUGCUUGAGGGACUUGGACAGGGGCUAAAACUUUCUGGGAGCAGGAAGUAAAAUGUUGUCAUGCACAUCCGUGGUAUUUGUUCUUGUGUUGGUGGGAUCAUGAACUUGUUGGUGAAAGAGGAGAAAGGGAUGCCAUGCCACCAGAGAGAUGUGCACAGGCUUGAAAAGUGGUACCACAUGAACCAAAUGAGGCUCAACAAGGCCAAGUGCAGGGUCUUGCACUUGGG
Long non-coding RNA from Numida meleagris (helmeted guineafowl), 1229 nucleotides. RefSeq lists it as uncharacterized. The record is from RefSeq and is a predicted model, not a curated record. NCBI's taxonomy places the organism in Eukaryota, Metazoa, Chordata, Aves, Galliformes, Numididae. The transcript has 3 exons.